GACGAACGCUGGCGGCGUGCUUAACACAUGCAAGUCGAACGGAAAGGCCCUGCUUUUGUGGGGUGCUCGAGUGGCGAACGGGUGAGUAACACGUGAGUAACCUGCCCUUGACUUUGGGAUAACUUCAGGAAACUGGGGCUAAUACCGGAUAGGAGCUCCUGCUGCAUGGUGGGGGUUGGAAAGUUUCGGCGGUUGGGGAUGGACUCGCGGCUUAUCAGCUUGUUGGUGGGGUAGUGGCUUACCAAGGCUUUGACGGGUAGCCGGCCUGAGAGGGUGACCGGCCACAUUGGGACUGAGAUACGGCCCAGACUACUACGGGAGGCAGCAGUGGGGAAUAUUGCACAAUGGGCGGAAGCCUGAUGCAGCAACGCCGCGUGCGGGAUGACGGCCUUCGGGUUGUAAACCGCUUUCGCCUGUGACGAAGAGUGAGUGACGGUAAUGGGUAAAGAAGCACCGGCUAACUACGUG
RNAcentral lists this ribosomal RNA (468 nucleotides) under uncultured bacterium. RNAcentral describes it as "partial 16S ribosomal RNA". It matches the Rfam family "Bacterial small subunit ribosomal RNA", at positions 28 to 507 of the family's 1533-position model. The record is from RNAcentral.